AGUUAACUCAUGUUAACUGUUUAAAAGAAGCAAUGGCUUCACUAUCAGAUGGACCUGCGUUGUAUUAGCUAGUAGGUAGGGUAACGGCCUACCUAGGCAACGAUACAUAGCCGACCUGAGAGGGUGAACGGCCACACUGGGACUGAGACACGGCCCAGACUCCUACGGGAGGCAGCAGUAGGGAAUCUUCGGCAAUGGACGCAAGUCUGACCGAGCAACGCCGCGUGAGUGAAGACGGUUUUCGGAUCGUAAAGCUCUGUUGUAGGGGAAGAACGUGUGUAAGAGUGGAAAGCUUACACAGUGACGGUACCCUACCAGAAAGGGACGGCUAACUACGUGCCAGCAGCCGCGGUAAUACGUAGGUCCCGAGCGUUGUCCGGAUUUAUUGGGCGUAAAGGGAGCGCAGGCGGUUUAGUAAGUCUGAAGUUAAAGGCAUUGGCUCAACCAAUGUAUGCUUUGGAAACUGUUAGACUUGAGUGCAGAAGGGGAGAGUGGAAUUCCAUGUGUAGCGGUGAAAUGCGUAGAUAUAUGGAGGAACACCGGUGGCGAAAGCGGCUCUCUGGUCUGUCACUGACGCUGAGGCUCGAAAGCGUGGGUAGCGAACAGGAUUAGAUACCCUGGUAGUCCACGCCGUAAACGCUGAGUGCUAGGUGUUAGGUCCUUUCCAGGACUUAGUGCCGACGCUAACGCAUUAAGCACUCCGCCUGGGGAGUACGACCGCAAGGUUGAAACUCAAAGGAAUUGACGGGGGCCCGCACAAGCGGUGGAGCAUGUGGUUUAAUUCGAAGCAACGCGAAGAACCUUACCAGGUCUUGACAUCCCGAUGCCCGCUACUAGAGAUAGAGUUUU
RNAcentral lists this ribosomal RNA (849 nucleotides) under Streptococcus mutans. RNAcentral describes it as "bacterial SSU rRNA". It matches the Rfam family "Bacterial small subunit ribosomal RNA", at positions 181 to 1015 of the family's 1533-position model. The record is from RNAcentral. Lineage: Bacteria; Bacillati; Bacillota; Bacilli; Lactobacillales; Streptococcaceae.